GCAUCAAUGGGGUAGUGGUAACCUGGGUCGUUGCCACUGUUAGAGUUCGACCCGCCGCGAGUUCGAUUCUCGCUUGAUGCA
Non-coding RNA from Pleurotus pulmonarius, 81 nucleotides. The record is from the annotation of a GenBank genome assembly. NCBI's taxonomy places the organism in Eukaryota, Fungi, Basidiomycota, Agaricomycetes, Agaricales, Pleurotaceae.